RNAcentral lists this ribosomal RNA (494 nucleotides) under uncultured bacterium. RNAcentral describes it as "partial 16S ribosomal RNA". It matches the Rfam family "Bacterial small subunit ribosomal RNA", at positions 28 to 507 of the family's 1533-position model. The record is from RNAcentral.
GACGAACGCUGGCGGCGUGCUUAACACAUGCAAGUCGAACGGUGAAGCGCCUUCCUUUUUGGUGGGUGGGGAUGAGUGGCGAACGGGUGAGUAACACGCGAGUAACCUGCCCCCUUCUUCUGGAUAACCGCAUGAAAGUGUGGCUAAUACGGGAUCUUCUGGGUCUGUCGCAGGAUGGGUCUGGGAAAGAUAUUGUUUCGGUGGGGGAUGGGCUCGCGGCCUGUCAGCUGGUUGGUGGGGUGAUGGCCUACCACGGCUGUGACGGGUCGCCGGCCUGGGAGGGUUGACGGUCUGACUGGGACUGCGACCCCGCCGAGACUCCUACGCGAGGCAGCAGUGGGGAGUAUUGCACAGUGGGCGCAAGCCUGCUGCGGCGGCGCCCCGUGAGGGAUGGCGCCGUUCGGGUUGUGAACCUCUUUCGCCAGUGAAGCAGGCCUGCCUCGUUUGUGGGUGGGUUGACGGUAGCGGGUUAAGAAGCGCCGGCUAACUACGUG